GAGAUUCAUAGGGGAGUGGCUGGCUGACCCAGACCACUGGGAGUCUUAUAUUAUUGGCUUCUCCUGGGAAAGUCUUCUCUGUAACCGAGGCUGCACGUUCUACUGAAAAGGAAAGAAAAAGAGAAAAAACAAGAGCCACGGUGAUGGUCUGGAGUCUAAUUAAUACUGCCAACAGCUUCUAUGUAUUUAGCCGUGGAUUUCCCUUCUUCAAUAAAUGACAGCGUGACCUCAAAUUUUUAGAUGUACCUGGAACAAAGCAAGAACCAUAGAGACAAGGACUCUGGACAGAGCUAACAGCGACCAUAGAUGCUAUUCCGCUAUAGCUUCAGCGAUCUUGGUGUUGCUGUCCUCCAAAACUAAAUGUCUGAACUCAACCAGGCUGAACCCCAGCUGACAUUUGCUGACUUCUUGAGACUGCUGCUUCCACAGUGCGGAACCUGGGAGAGAACAGGAGCCAAGAGAGCCUUUGGAAGAGGAGGAGAGCUUAUGUCCAACGCAGCCAACCAGAAACACAAACAAACAAACAAAAAUUUAAUUCCCUUUGAUAAUUUAGGCAUGUUCCUAACAAUACUUCCCAUAUUUCAAUUGGGCCAUUUAAACGUGUUUGCCACCUUUGAAGACCUAGAAUGAAAGCAAACUUUUGUCUCUGUGGAUGAGAUGAAGUUAGAUUUCUGGCAUCCUUGCCCAGAGCUGUUCCUUAGAUCUUCAUUGCAGGCUAUAGGAUUGUAAGUAGCCUCUGCCAUUUCGGUUUGCUUUUUAACAUUAAUUGUGGUGAGAAGGAUAUUGUCUUGGAGUCACAGGCUUGGUAAAAAAAGACAGGAAUUCUAAUCCACUCUCAUGCAGAACUUGUGGCCCCUUAGGAAGGCAUUUAACCUUUAAGGGUCUAUCCCUUGUCUGUAAAAUGUGCAUGUAAAAUUGCAUGCACACUUGUGAGCGGCUGUAGGGUUCCCAGAUGGUACCAGCCAAGUGCCUGGUCCACACGUGAUGACAGAAUGCUGGAUUCACAGUUGUUAUAAGUGCUGGGCAUGGAAAUCUUCUGACUUCUUCAGUACAAGAGACCAGAGGUCACACAGCACACACAGAGAGGUAGCAGUCUCCAUAGUAGGGGUGGUUCUGUGCUUUGUGCCCUUGUACCUUGGCUAGUCUAAUCAUGGAGCUUAGGUUUUUGGAGCAUUUGUGAGAACCAUAAAGCUAACCUGGUUGGGUGUUGACUUGAGCAAAGACUCUGCUAUAUCUGUGAGGCUAGCUGUUUAAAGGUUGCUGUGUUUGAGACAAUCACAGAGCAUGUACAUGGCAAAUGGUCUCCACCAGUACGACAAGGAAAUUAAUCUCAUUGCUUUGUGGCCUCAUGUCUACGACAAUGCAAUUUUACUUUGCCAAACUGUGUAUCUGUGUUUAUACGCAUAUACAUGCUCCUUGAUGGCUUAUUUUUGUGCCCGCCCAAAUCCAAGCACAAUAAAAACUGUCUCUUUACGAUCCGGUUUGUGAUUUCUUGCUUGUGUUAUGACAGCCGCACUCGCUGAGAUUUCUGUUCUCCGGUAACGAGAAGCUGUGACAGGCGCUACCAGAAGAGGCUUCUGCGGAAGGCUCCCCAGAUUUUCUCAAGCCUCCCUCCACAAUUGAUCUGCUGCAAUGUUUUUAGUCUUGUUAUUAUAGUGUUGGAGUGGAGAAGUAUCAUAUGGAGGGAGACGAGAGGAGUCGAAAUAUGGGAAAGCAGCUGUCAAGACCAAUUCAGAAGAAC
Long non-coding RNA from Myodes glareolus (Bank vole), 1741 nucleotides. RefSeq lists it as uncharacterized. Lineage: Eukaryota; Metazoa; Chordata; Mammalia; Rodentia; Cricetidae. The record is from RefSeq and is a predicted model, not a curated record.